GAUGAACGCUGGCGGCGUGCCUAAUACAUGCAAGUCGAGCGAACAGACGAGGAGCUUGCUCCUCUGACGUUAGCGGCGGACGGGUGAGUAACACGUGGAUAACCUACCUAUAAGACUGGGAUAACUUCGGGAAACCGGAGCUAAUACCGGAUAACAUGUUGAACCGCAUGGUUCAACAGUGAAAGACGGUCUCGCUGUCACUUAUAGAUGGAUCCGCGCCGCAUUAGCUAGUUGGUAAGGUAACGGCUUACCAAGGCAACGAUGCGUAGCCGACCUGAGAGGGUGAUCGGCCACACUGGAACUGAGACACGGUCCAGACUCCUAAGGGAGGCAGCAGUAGGGAAUCUUCCGCAAUGGGCGAAAGCCUGACGGAGCAACGCCGCGUGAGUGAAGAAGGUCUUCGGAUCGUAAAACUCUGUUAUUAGGGAAGAACAAAUGUGUAAGUAACUAUGCACGUCUUGACGGUACCUAAUCAGAAAGCCACGGCUAACUACGUG
RNAcentral lists this ribosomal RNA (497 nucleotides) under uncultured bacterium. RNAcentral's name for it is "partial 16S ribosomal RNA". It matches the Rfam family "Bacterial small subunit ribosomal RNA", at positions 28 to 507 of the family's 1533-position model. The record is from RNAcentral.